CCUACGGGUGGCAGCAGUCGAGAAUCAUUCACAAUGGGGGAAACCCUGAUGGUGCGACGCCGCGUGGGGGAAUGAAGGUCUUCGGAUUGUAAACCCCUGUCAUGUGGGGGCAAAUUAAAAAGAUAGUACCACAAGAGGAAUAGACGGCUAACUCUGUGCCAGCAGCCGCGGUAAUACAGAGGUCUCAAGCGUUGUUCGGAAUCACUGGGCGUAAAGGGUGCGGAGGCGGUUUCGUAUGUCGGGUGUGAAAGGCUCGGGCUCAACCCGCGAACGGCAGAUGAUACUGGGAGACUAGAGAAAAGGAGGGGGAGCCGGAAUGCUUGGUGUAGCAGUGAAAUGCGUAGAGAUC
This 349-nucleotide ribosomal RNA is filed under the name uncultured bacterium. RNAcentral describes it as "partial 16S ribosomal RNA". It matches the Rfam family "Bacterial small subunit ribosomal RNA", at positions 338 to 698 of the family's 1533-position model. The record is from RNAcentral.